UGCAGUCGAACGAAGGCUUCGGCCUUAGUGGCGCACGGGUGCGUAACGCGUGGGAAUCUGCCCUUUGGUUCGGAAUAACAGCUGGAAACGGCUGCUAAUACCGGAUGAUGUCGAUGAGACCAAAGAUUUAUCGCCAGAGGAUGAGCCCGCGUUGGAUUAGGUAGUUGGUGGGGUAAAGGCCUACCAAGCCGACGAUCCAUAGCUGGUCUGAGAGGAUGAUCAGCCACACUGGGACUGAGACACGGCCCAGACUCCUACGGGAGGCAGCAGUGGGGAAUAUUGGACAAUGGGCGAAAGCCUGAUCCAGCAAUGCCGCGUGAGUGAUGAAGGCCCUAGGGUUGUAAAGCUCUUUUACCCGGGAAGAUAAUGACUGUACCGGGAGAAUAAGCCCCGGCUAACUCCGUGCCAGCAGCCGCGGUAAUACGGAGGGGGCUAGCGUUGUUCGGAAUUACUGGGCGUAAAGCGCACGUAGGCGGCUUUGUAAGUCAGAGGUGAAAGCCUGGAGCUCAACUCCAGAACUGCCUUUGAGACUGCAUCGCUUGAAUCCAGGAGAGGUCAGUGGAAUUCCGAGUGUAGAGGUGAAAUUCGUAGAUAUUCGGAAGAACACCAGUGGCGAAGGCGGCUGACUG
Molecule: ribosomal RNA, 629 nt
Filed under: uncultured bacterium
Lineage: Bacteria
Description: bacterial SSU rRNA
Rfam family: Bacterial small subunit ribosomal RNA
Source: RNAcentral